RNAcentral lists this ribosomal RNA (468 nucleotides) under uncultured bacterium. RNAcentral's name for it is "partial 16S ribosomal RNA". It matches the Rfam family "Bacterial small subunit ribosomal RNA", at positions 28 to 507 of the family's 1533-position model. The record is from RNAcentral.
GACGAACGCUGGCGGCGUGCUUAACACAUGCAAGUCGAACGGAAAGGCCCUGCUUUUGUGGGGUGCUCGAGUGGCGAACGGGUGAGUAACACGUGAGUAACCUGCCCUUGACUUUGGGAUAACUUCAGGAAACUGGGGCUAAUACCGGAUAGGAGCUCCUGCUGCAUGGUGGGGGUUGGAAAGUUUCGGCGGUUGGGGAUGGACUCGCGGCUUAUCAGCUUGUUGGUGGGGUAGUGGCUUACCAAGGCUUUGACGGGUAGCCGGCCUGAGAGGGUGACCGGCCACCUUGGGCCUGAGGUACGGCCCAGACUCCUACGGGAGGCAGCAGUGGGGAAUAUUGCACAAUGGGCGGAAGCCUGAUGCAGCAGCGCCGCGUGCGGGAUGACGGCCUUCGGGUUGUAAACCGCUUUCGCCUGUGACGAAGCGUGAGUGACGGUAAUGGGUAAAGAAGCACCGGCUAACUACGUG